Molecule: ribosomal RNA, 253 nt
Filed under: uncultured bacterium
Lineage: Bacteria
Description: partial 16S ribosomal RNA
Rfam family: Bacterial small subunit ribosomal RNA
Source: RNAcentral
UACGUAGGGUGCAAGCGUUGCCCGGAUUUAUUGGGCGUAAAGGGCGCGUAGGCGGUCACGCACGUCCGUUGUGAAAUCGCUCGGCUCAACUGGGCGGGGUCAGCGGAUACGGGCGGGCUAGAAUUCGGUAGGGGAGACUGGAAUUCCUGGUGUAGCGGUGAAAUGCGCAGAUAUCUGGAGGAAUACCGGUGGCGAAGGCGGCAUCCUGGACCGACAUUGACGCUGAUGAGCGAAAGCUAGGGGAGCAAACGGG